GCUUAGAAGAUCUACCACAGGUCAGACACAGAUAGAACCCAAACUGGGAUAGAUACUGCAUGUGAAUCAAUAAGGAGAAAGAUCCAGGAAAUGUAAUGGAAAGAGAAUCAAUAAGGAUGGCUACUGAAUGGAUGUAGAAGUUGAAUUAGAAGGAAAACUCAAGGAUAACUCUAAGGACUUGAACUUAGGUGACUAGAAAGUUGAAGGUUCAAAAAAAAUCAAUUGUAUUGAGGAGAAUGAAAGAGAAUUGACUUGGACACAAUUCAUACUUAAAGGACCAGAAGGCUGAACAAGCAAUGUGCUCUGACUACUAAAAAGCCAAUGAAGUCUUGGGCUGAAUUAAUUGAAGUACUAUGUUCAGAACAAGUAAAGUACAUAAUAACGCUGAACUCUUCCAGUAUGGAUUUUAUCUAGGAGGCUUUGCAGUCAUCCAGGACUUAAUGUAAGCAAGAAAAAAUCAUCAUCCACCAACUGCCGGGAGGAUCACGCUAUCUAUACAGAAAUCCUCUGAAACUUGAACUCUACUG
Molecule: long non-coding RNA, 527 nt
Filed under: Monodelphis domestica (gray short-tailed opossum)
Lineage: Eukaryota; Metazoa; Chordata; Mammalia; Didelphimorphia; Didelphidae
Description: lncRNA (ENSMODG00000049784.1)
Source: RNAcentral